Molecule: transfer RNA, 76 nt
Filed under: Agrobacterium rubi
Lineage: Bacteria; Pseudomonadati; Pseudomonadota; Alphaproteobacteria; Hyphomicrobiales; Rhizobiaceae
Description: tRNA-Ile
Rfam family: tRNA
About the family: Transfer RNA (tRNA) molecules are approximately 80 nucleotides in length.
Source: RNAcentral
GGGCGGUUAGCUCAAUGGUUAGAGCAGCCCGCUCAUAACGGGCCGGUUGGGGGUUCAAGUCCCUCACCGCCUACCA